GGGCCCGCACAAGCGGUGGAGCAUGUGGUUUAAUUCGAUGAUACGCGAGGAACCUUACCAGGGCUUAAAUGUAGGUUGCAUAAGCUAGAGAUAGCUUUUUCUUCGGACUACUUACAAGGUGCUGCAUGGUUGUCGUCAGCUCGUGCCGUGAGGUGUCAGGUUAAGUCCUAUAACGAGCGCAACCCCUGUUGUUAGUUGCCAGCGAGUGAUGUCGGGAACUCUAACAAGACUGCCAGUGCAAACUGUGAGGAAGGUGGGGAUGACGUCAAAUCAUCACGGCCCUUACGUCCUGGGCUACACACGUGCUACAAUGGUAGGUACAGAGGGCAGCUACCCCGCGAGGGGAUGCGAAUCUUUAAAACCUAUCUCAGUUCGGAUCGGAGUCUGCAACUCGACUCCGUG
RNAcentral lists this ribosomal RNA (402 nucleotides) under uncultured bacterium. Its description in RNAcentral is "bacterial SSU rRNA". It matches the Rfam family "Bacterial small subunit ribosomal RNA", at positions 917 to 1322 of the family's 1533-position model. The record is from RNAcentral.